GUAUUUUUAUCAGAGCGAUGUCAUUUUUCACAGUUUUGGUCGCUCAGCUUUCACGGGCAGUUUCCCUUCCCAAGCUCCAGAGGUUUACAGUGAAAACUGCGAACGCUAUCUUCACAAACAGCGACAGACGGGCCAAUCGGGGCGGGGACGUCACAAACGCGCUCGAGUCAUGCGGAGCCGCCGCCACGGAGGCGCUCGGCUCCCUCCAGUGGACACGCAGCGGUACUGCAGUCGGGAGGCGCUGGAAGAUUAUUUGCUGAAUUCCUUACCGAUGCGGCUAUCUCGUGGAGAGAAAGUGGAACGGUUACGUCAUGUCCUAAACAAUCUGAUUGGAUAAAAGACAAGUCACAAAUUAAAUGACUUCUGAUUGGCGAACGCAGUUAGCGAAUCAAAAGUUAGAAAUGCGUUACCUAAUUUGUAUAGACCCUAUAGCUGUCCAAGGUGCGCACCUGUUUAAAAAUAUACAUUUAUUAUUAAUAAAACAUUUUUUUAGUACACGUGUCCACGUCAGUAUUUUAAUAACAUUAUAUUUUCAUGCUUUUAGUGAAGAAUUGUUUUACUAUCAGUCAUAUUUUAAAACGGGCAGUUUCGAAAUAACCAAAGUAAACAACGAUUCUAAACCGGAACGUGCCUGAAGGAAUCAACUGUAGUUCUCUUUUAUAGCGGUUUAAAAUGUAUCUAAAAGUAUAUACGGGUGUUUGCAAUAAUUUAAUCUCAGACGUAGAAAUAUAACCAAGAUUCAUGACGACCAUUGUAUUGAUAGAGCAGUUGUUUAAAUAAAAGAGCAGCGUCAGUUUUGGAAAUAUCACAUUUUAUAUUUGUGUCAGUUUUUAGUUAAGUAAAUUGGAAAAUUACAAGCGGUGUGUAUUUCAGUAUGCUAACGUGACGUUUUUCAGCAGGUUUCAUUUGAUUUUAUGAAGCAGAAUUAGUUAACACUCAAAUCAACCCCUCGACAGCAGUUCUACUAAAUGUCCACACGAGGGCAGCAUUGGAUAGGAAAUGAAAGCUAAAGCCUCGUCUGUCUCCCUGAAGUUCGCUACCAAUUGUAAAGAGCAGAGGACAGCUCAGCCGGAGGCGUGUGUCUGUGUGAAACGACUUUAUUUCAUGUGAUAAGUUUGUGGAAGAAGGACGCCAUGUGAGGAGGCGUUUGCUCUUGUUUUACACAGACUACGAGGGACAGCGCUCGUUAAACCAGGUGAGUGCAUCUCGUUUACUUUGUUUAUUAUUCAGUGCAGCGGUUGUUUUUGAAUCCCGCAUUUUUAAAAUGGCCGUCCGGACCCGCUUGUGACUGUUUGCUGAGUGGCUUUUAAUAAUGUGUUUGUCUUUGUGAGCUCUGAUCAGCAGGGUGCGGUUUGACGGGGGUGUGAUUCCCCCGGCUAUAUUGACUGGGGGUCAUCUUUAUUGUUUAUAAUCGUACGUUGUUAUUGCCUUUUAGCUCUUGAGCAUAAUAAUCUCAAUCCCGUUUGAAAUGACACUAAGUGCAUUUGCAUGGUGGCAGAUGAGGGAUGUCACUUCACUCGAGGCGUGCGUACUGAUGAAGAUGUAGUUUCAGUGUUUAAUGCUCAUCCCCUCACUGUGUGUGUUCUUGUCUCUCGCCUGUCCUGUGAGGAUGAAGAUGUAGUUUCAGUGUUUAAUGCUUAUCCCCUCAGUGUGUGUCUGUAUGUUCUUGUCUCUUGACAGGUCUGUGAGGAUGAGAAGGUCUCCACAGUCUGGAGUCUGGUCUCUGACAGGCUCAACAUACCUGUCAAUCAACAGGGACUCCUCUACAAAGGCAAGGCGCUGGCAGGUAGGCUGAACAGCACAGCACAGCACAGCACAGCUCACCCCUCCUCUCACCCCUCGCCUCACCCCGGGUCAGUGUGGCACAGCCUGCCUGCUCUUCUGAACAAACACUUCAGCCCUGCCGACGCAGUGAGAGUCUGGAGCAGCUACACGAGGAUUACGAGCGGAGGCUGCGCUUGUUGAGCCUGGAUGAUAUGGAGCGGCUGGCGACUCGCAUGCUUCACCCUGAGGCUGUGGAGUGCAUGGAGCUGUCCUUCCUAGACUGAGGAAUACUGCUGCUGCCCUCUCCACCUCUCCCCUCUCUUCUCCCCUCUCCCCUCUCUCCUCUCCUCUUUACUCUCUCCUCCCCCUCUCCUCUCCUCUCCUUACUUUGUUUAAAAGAAUAGAAGCACACCCAGUGAGCAAGGCAUUGAGCAGCCCCACAUCCCGCUUCACAAUACCGCUACAUAUUGACUGACUGUUCGCAUUGUGUGUGUUUGGUCUGUGAGGAUGAGAAGGUCUCCACAGUCUGGAGUCUGGUCUCUGACAGGCUCAACAUACCUGUCAAUCAACAGGGACUCCUCUACAAAGGCAAGGCGCUGGCAGGUAGGCUGAACAGCACAGCACAGCACAGCACAGCUCACCCCUCCUCUCACCCCUCGCCUCACCCCGGGUCAGUGUGGCACAGCCUGCCUGCUCUUCUGAACAAACACUUCAGCCCUGCCGACGCAGUGAGAGUCUGGAGCAGCUACACGAGGAUUACGAGCGGAGGCUGCGCUUGUUGAGCCUGGAUGAUAUGGAGCGGCUGGCGACUCGCAUGCUUCACCCUGAGGCUGUGGAGUGCAUGGAGCUGUCCUUCCUAGACUGAGGAAUACUGCUGCUGCCCUCUCCACCUCUCCCCUCUCUUCUCCCCUCUCCCCUCUCUCCUCUCCUCUUUACUCUCUCCUCCCCCUCUCCUCUCCUCUCCUUACUUUGUUUAAAAGAAUAGAAGCACACCCAGUGAGCAAGGCAUUGAGCAGCCCCACAUCCCGCUUCACAAUACCGCUACAUAUUGACUGACUGUUCGCAUUGUGUGUGUUUGGUAAGACAAACCACAUUUUCUACUUCUACUUUCUACGAUUGGGCAAGUCAGCGGUUGUUUGAUAACAGAACAUAAAACAUCACAGAGUGGGUUGAACUGCAUUGCUGCAAAUCAAGGUCCUUUAAAAUGUGUACCUUCCCAGCUCAGGUAUUGCUGAGGUAAAGAGACACUUCCUACAGGAGGACAGGACGUUGUCAAGGAGGGGAUGUCGUCACGUGUCCUGAGGGCUUUCUUAAAAACAUUGUUUUAUUAUUUCUAAGCGUACGUUGUUACUGCCUUUUAGCUCUUGAGCAUAAUAAUCUCAAUCCCGUUUGAAAUGACACUAAGUGCAUUUGCAUGGUGGCAGAUGAGGGAUGUCGCUUCACUCGAGGCGUGCGUACUGAUGAAGAUGUAGUUUCAGUGUUUAAUGCUCAUCCCCUCACUGUGUGUGUGUGUGUGUGUGUGUGUGUGUCUGUGUGUGUUCUUGUCUCUCGCCUGUCCUGUGAGGAUGAAGAUGUAGUUUCAGUGUUUAAUGCUCAUCCCCUCACUGUGUGUCUGUGUGUUCUUGUCUCUUGACAGGUCUGUGAGGAUGAGAAGGUCUCCACAGUCUGGAGUCUGGUCUCUGACAGGCUCAACAUACCUGUCAAUCAACAGGGACUCCUCUACAAAGGCAAGGCGCUGGCAGGUAGGCUGAACAGCACAGCACAGCACAGAACAGCUCACCCCUCCUCUCACGCCUCGCCUCACCCCGGGUCAGUGUGGCACAGCCUGCCUGCUCUUCUGAACAAACACUUCAGCCCUGCCGACGCAGUGAGAGUCUGGAGCAGCAACACGAGGAUUACGAGCGGAGGCUGCGCUUGUUGAGCCUGGAUGAUAUGGAGCGGCUGGCGACCCGCAUGCUUCACCCUGAGGCUGUGGAGUGCAUGGAGCUGUCCUUCCUGGACUGAGGAAUAAUGCUGCUGCCCUCUCCCCUCCCCCCUCUCCUCUCCACCUCUCCCCUCUAAGGAGUGGAGGUGAGGAGAGGGAGGAGAGAGAGGAACCUGCUACUGAGGGAGCUGCAGCUCUGAGGAGAGAGAGGGAGGAGGGAGAGGAACCUGCUACUGAGGGAGCUGCAGCUCAGAGGAGAGGAGAGAGAGGAACCUGCUACUGAGGGAGCUGCAGCUCUGAGGAGAGGAGAGAGAGAUUAGAGAGAGGAACCUGCUACUGAGGGAGCUGCAGCUCUGAGGAGAGAGAGGGAGGAGGGAGAGGAACCUGCUACUGAGGGAGCUGCAGCUCUGAGGAGAGGAGAGAGAGGAACCUGCAGCUCUGAGGAGAUCAAAUCUUUCUUCAGGUGUUGUUAUUUUGAUAUAGUUUUGAGGUUGAAUAUUUCAGUCCAGGUUUGAAGCACUCACUCUUCAUUACUGAUAUUUAAAUCCAGAAGAAACACAAAAUAAAUAAAAAUCUGUGUUGAA
This is a long non-coding RNA of Acipenser ruthenus (sterlet), 4272 nucleotides long. RefSeq lists it as uncharacterized. The transcript is spliced from 5 exons. NCBI's taxonomy places the organism in Eukaryota, Metazoa, Chordata, Actinopteri, Acipenseriformes, Acipenseridae. The record is from RefSeq and is a predicted model, not a curated record.